AACGAACGCUGGCGGCAUGCCUAACACAUGCAAGACGAACGAGACCUUCGGGUCUAGUGGCGCACGGGUGCGUAACGCGUGGGAAUCUGCCCUUGGGUUUGGGAUAACAGUUGGAAACGACUGCUAAUACCGGAUGAUGUCUUCGGACCAAAGAUUUAUCGCCAGGGAUGAGCCCGCGUCGGAUUAGCUAGUUGGUGAGGUAAAGGCUCACCAAGGCGACGAUCCGUAGCUGGUCUGAGAGGAUGAUCAGCCACACUGGGACUGAGACACGGCCCAGACUCCUACGGGAGGCAGCAGUGGGGAAUAUUGGACAAUGGGCGAAAGCCUGAUCCAGCAAUGCCGCGUGAGUGAUGAAGGCCUUAGGGUUGUAAAGCUCUUUUACCCGGGAUGAUAAUGACAGUACCGGGAGAAUAAGCCCCGGCUAACUCCGUGCCAGCAGCCGCGGUAAUACGGAGGGGGCUAGCGUUGUUCGGAAUUACUGGGCGUAAAGCGCGCGUA
RNAcentral lists this ribosomal RNA (498 nucleotides) under uncultured bacterium. RNAcentral's name for it is "bacterial SSU rRNA". It matches the Rfam family "Bacterial small subunit ribosomal RNA", at positions 28 to 573 of the family's 1533-position model. The record is from RNAcentral.